CUCUAAAUUAGGGAUUUGAUUUAGGGUUGCUACAAUGGAUCCCUGGACAUCCCUAAUCGACCUAGUCGUUCCUUUCCUGCUGUUGGUCCUGCAUGAAGAUCUCUCUCAAGUCUCGAGUGCCCUCGUUCGAUCGGCCCUCUCUCACACCGUUUGCCAGCAUCUUCAGAGGCCCCUUCAUCGGCUAGAUUUCAUAUCAGAUGCUCAGAGACUAGCACAAGCAAGCGAAAGAUGUUUUGAUCUCUCUUGGGGGAAGUUUUUUUGCUUUAAACCCUUUCGAGAACGUUAUAGGGAAGUCAUUUGUAGUUGUAGAGGGGUUUGGAUGCUGUUUGGCCUUUUCAUUUCAUAGGCUUAUACUCCUUUUACAUGAGAAAGAAAAAUCAGUUAGACUGAGUACUUGUUCACCUUUUACAUGUGCAGUUUUUCAAUCAUAGGUUCCAAUACUUGACUAGGUAUUGACUAGAAUUUGGACCACCAAAGUUACGAAUGACAAUGCGACUUGGUAGACUGAUUCAUGCAGGUGCUUCUUUUGGGGGAAAGAGUAAUGUCUUGAAAGCAGAGAGGAAAGUGGGGCUUGGUGGAAAGAAGCCGCUUGGUUAUUUAUCGGUUUGAAUUAUACACUAUUUCAGCAUUAUUCUUUAUGGAUUCGAGGAUACACUGCUUUUUAUAAUUGAUUUCUUUUUUUUUUUUUUAUAGAAAAUAGACAUCACUUCAUUCCAUGAAGGAAGCCUAUUCUUUGGGAUUGUAUGUCUAAUGCAAGGCUGUGAUGAUGGUUUUAAUUACUCCAUGGGAGGGGUGUUAAUUCACAAGUAUUCUUAAUGGGGCUCUAUUGAUAUGGCAGGGUAAUCCGAACCCGGAUGGCCACCAAGUAUUUUGUGUUAGUUUUCACAAAAGGCAACCGGGAUUUAAGGUUUUGCAGCCAUUCGAGAUUGAGCUUCUGUCUUACGCAUGCUGUGAAUAAAAAAACCAUUAUGAGCCACAUGGAUCAUGCAUUCUUUAUGGAAGCGGAUGUGAAUGCUCUUAUUCAUUUAGCAUCGAAAUAGUUUCUUUACUAUCACUAUCUGAUUCUUAAGUGACAUGGAUUUAUUCAUAGCAUGUUCAUUUAUUCGACACACAUCCAUUUAGCAUUACUUUCUAUUAUGAUCAUUACUUUCUCACUUUCUCAUUUACGUUUUUAUGCUCUUAUUCAUUUUGCAUGUUGCUCAGUAUUGGAUUAGAACUUUAUAUUUUAAUCCAUAUAUUGCUUCUCUUAUUUAUGUUUUGACAAAUCCUUAUUCAUUUUGCAUGCUAAUUUCCUGCUGUUUGGAUUUUGAAAUUGAAGAAGCAUGGCAGACACGUUGUGAUUUAAUAAUGUUAAAUUAUUUUAUAUGUUCCUUUAGAACAUUUUGUUUUAAUCCAUAUAUUGCUCACCCAUUUCUAUUUUGAUGGUCUAAAUCAUUUGCAUACUACUCAGUAUUGUUUGGAUUUUGUACAUUAUAUUCCUUUAGUGUUAUGGUGAUAUAGUAAUGUUGCUCAAUUUUCUUUAUUAUAUUAGAGCAUUCAUGUCAUUGAAUUUUUUUGCUCUAACCCUCUCAGCUGUGAUGAUGACAAACUCUCGUGGGGACACAGAACAUUUGGCACAUACCUCCAUGUCAUAGUAACCUGAAUGGCCAAUAAGCAGUGGCAAUUGAUUGUUGUCGCCAUUUGAGGGUGCCAAAUUUCCUAUAUGUUACCAUUCGGUUUCCGAGCAGGUUAGUAAAAUCACAUCUUUAUAUUUUCUUAAGUGUC
Molecule: long non-coding RNA, 1764 nt
Organism: Juglans microcarpa x Juglans regia
Lineage: Eukaryota; Viridiplantae; Streptophyta; Magnoliopsida; Fagales; Juglandaceae
Exons: 4
Source: RefSeq, a predicted model, not a curated record